RNAcentral lists this ribosomal RNA (491 nucleotides) under uncultured bacterium. RNAcentral describes it as "partial 16S ribosomal RNA". It matches the Rfam family "Bacterial small subunit ribosomal RNA", at positions 29 to 506 of the family's 1533-position model. The record is from RNAcentral.
AGUGAACGCUGGCGGUAGGCCUAACACAUGCAAGUCGAACGGCAGCACAGUAAGAGCUUGCUCUUACGGGUGGCGAGUGGCGGACGGGUGAGGAAUACAUCGGAAUCUACUUUUUCGUGGGGGAUAACGUAGGGAAACUUACGCUAAUACCGCAUACGACCUACGGGUGAAAGCAGGGGAUCUUCGGACCUUGCGCGAUUGAAUGAGCCGAUGUCGGAUUAGCUAGUUGGCGGGGUAAAGGCCCACCAAGGCGACGAUCCGUAGCUGGUCUGAGAGGAUGAUCAGCCACACUGGAACUGAAAAACGGUCCGGACUCCUACGGGAGGCAGCAGUGGGGAAUAUUGGACAAUGGGCGCAAGCCUGAUCCAGCAAUACCGCGUGGGUGAAGAAGGCCUUCGGGUUGUAAAGCCCUUUUGUUGGGAAAGAAAAGCAGCAGGUUAAUACCCCGCUGUUCUGACGGUACCCAAAGAAUAAGCACCGGCUAACUUCGU